AUUGAACGCUGGCGGAAUGCUUUACACAUGCAAGUCGAGCGGCAGCGCGGGGGCAACCCUGGCGGCGAGCGGCGAACGGGUGAGUAACAUAUCGGAACGUACCCAGUCGUGGGGGAUAACUAUCCGAAAGGAUAGCUAAUACCGCAUACGUCCUGAGGGAGAAAGCGGGGGAUCGCAAGACCUCGCGCGAUUGGAGCGGCCGAUAUCGGAUUAGCUAGUUGGUGGGGUAAAGGCUCACCAAGGCGACGAUCCGUAGCGGGUCUGAGAGGACGACCCGCCACGACUGGAACUGAGACACGGUCCAGACUCCUACGGGAGGCAGCAGUGGGGAAUUUUGGACAAUAGGGGGCAACCCUGAUCCAGCCAUGCCGCGUGAGUGAAGAAGGCCUCGGUUGUAAG
Molecule: ribosomal RNA, 399 nt
Filed under: uncultured bacterium
Lineage: Bacteria
Description: bacterial SSU rRNA
Rfam family: Bacterial small subunit ribosomal RNA
Source: RNAcentral